CUACGGGUUGCUCCAGUGGGGAAUAUUGCACAAUGGGGGGAACCCUGAUGCAGCAACGCCGCGUGGAGGAUGACACAUUUCGGUGCGUAAACUCCUUUUAUAUAAGAAGAUAAUGACGGUAUUAUAUGAAUAAGCACCGGCUAACUCCGUGCCAGCAGCCGCGGUAAUACGGGGGGUGCAAGCGUUACUCGGAAUCACUGGGCGUAAAGAGCAUGUAGGCUGGUUAGUAAGUUGGAAGUGAAAUCCUAUGGCUUAACCAUAGAACUGCUUCCAAAACUACUAACCUAGAAUAUGGGAGAGGUAGAUGGAAUUUCUGGUGUAGGGGUAAAAUCCGUAGAGAUCAGAAGGAAUACCGAUUGCGAAGGCGAUCUACUGGAACAUUAUUGACGCUCAGAUGCGAAAGCGUGGGGAGCAAACAGGAUUAGAUACCCUUGUAGUC
RNAcentral lists this ribosomal RNA (439 nucleotides) under uncultured bacterium. RNAcentral describes it as "partial 16S ribosomal RNA". It matches the Rfam family "Bacterial small subunit ribosomal RNA", at positions 339 to 795 of the family's 1533-position model. The record is from RNAcentral.